AAUCAGCGGGGAAAGAAGACCCUGUUGAGCUUGACUCUAGUCUGACUCUGUGAAGAGACAUGAAAGGUGUAGCAUAGGUGGGAGAUUGUCAAAUUGCCAUCGUUCGCGCGGUGGUCCGGUGAUCACCAAUGAAAUACCACUACUUUGAUAGUUUCUUUACUUAUUCGGUAAAGCGAAAAAAUUGUGGCCAAUUUGGCGGUGUUUGUGUCGCUGUUGGUCAUUGUUUUCAUGUUAGUAGAUUGAAGCUUUGUUUACAGCCGUCGCUUUGUGUCGCCAUUUGACGCAUUGUUGUACUGGGUUAUCCCGGUGUGUGAUGUAGUCAGUAUGGAUGAUCGGCGAUAGGUUUGAAGUGAUUCGCUCUGGAAACAGUGUCAGACGGGGAGUUGGACUGGGGCGGUACAUCUGUUAAACGAUAAUGCAGGUGUCCUAAGGUAAGCUCAGCGGGGACAGAAACCUCGCUUAGAGUAAACGGGCACAAGCUUACUUGAUUUUGAUUUCCAGUACGAAUAGAAACCGCGAAAGCGUGGCCUAUCGAUCCUUUUGAUUGUGUAGAUUUCAUGCAAGAGGUGUCAGAAAAGUUACCACAGGGAUAUCGCUUUUGGAUCUCCGUCGGCAGCGCGGCUGUCUUCCCAUGCGGUUG
RNAcentral lists this non-coding RNA (640 nucleotides) under Trichinella sp. T9. RNAcentral describes it as "Eukaryotic large subunit ribosomal RNA". It matches the Rfam family "Eukaryotic large subunit ribosomal RNA", at positions 2392 to 2869 of the family's 3401-position model. Lineage: Eukaryota; Metazoa; Nematoda; Enoplea; Trichinellida; Trichinellidae. The record is from Rfam by way of RNAcentral.